This is a long non-coding RNA of Triticum aestivum (bread wheat), 649 nucleotides long. RefSeq lists it as uncharacterized. The record is from RefSeq and is a predicted model, not a curated record. The transcript is spliced from 3 exons. Lineage: Eukaryota; Viridiplantae; Streptophyta; Magnoliopsida; Poales; Poaceae.
UCUCCCUACGCAGCUUUCUUCUCUCCUUCCUUCUUACCUCCAGAUCGCAUCUCCCUUCUCUUCUCCUAUGGCUAUCCGCGCUGAAGCCUACACCUCGCCGGUCGCCUUGACCCUGGCGCGUCCGCGCUGCUGCCUGCAAGUAGGCGGCCGCCUCGACCCCGUCGCGUCCGCACUGCCGCCUGCACCUCACCGGUCGCGUCGACCCAUCCACGCUGCUGCCUACAAGUCGCCGGUCGCCUCGACACAUGGCGUCCGCGCUGCAGCCUGCACCUUGCCGGUCGCCUCCACCCCUACGCGUCCGCGCUACUGCCUGCAAGUCGCCGGUCGCCUCGACCCCAUCACGUCUGCACUGCUGCCUGCACAUGGCCGGUUGCCUGGCCCCAGUGCGCCCGAGCUACCGCCUGCAUAUCUCCAUUCGCCAACGCUACAUUGCAAGUGAAACUUGUACUUGAAGAAAAGUCCAACGGCGUGGUACAAGAAGUGUCAGAAAUUAAGUGGCCUAUGUUUGGUACAUCUCUAAGUGAUAGUUCUCAUGAAAGCCAGCAUGAACAAGACUGAUGGUCCAUCGUAAAUAUUUAGAAGCAUUCGAAGGAAUUGUAACCGCCAAUGAAGAAUGAUAUCCAUUCAAGCAACACGAUGGUGUCCCUCG